AGCUCCGCGACCGCCCGUGGCCACACCAGUCGGGGACUUCGUGCUUUACGAUGGGGGCGCAGCGGUCUGGCACGCGCAGGACCCCGGGCCUUGCACCCCAACGCUGGCCGCCCUGGACCCGCGGCGGGGACCCGCGCAGUCAGGGUACCUGCCCAUACCGAUGGGGUGGGGACCAGCACGGAGACUUUCCUUCACCCCGCGGCUUCUGUUCCUUUCAGGACGGACAGCGCCCACCCGGAGGAAAGCCUGACAGAUGAGACUUCGCAAGGAACCUGCCAGUUCAGGGAGGCCCACCUUUCUAGAAGGUUAACAGGAACUUCCAGCCUCCAGCCUACUUAGUGACCAGCUGCUGGAGGACAGUGAGUGGCCCCUGCUGUCCGCAUCUCCACAGGGGUCACCAAGCGCACUCACAGGGUCCCCCUCCACCUGGAGCAGAGAAUUCGGAGGAGCCCGUCUUGCUGUCUUUUCUGAUGUUGUUAAACUAUGCUUGGGCCUGUCCUUUGCUGAAAGGAGCUUUCUACACAGCUGGACUUCUGAGGUGGGACCUGCCACGUGCUAACUCUGGCACUCGGAGCGGUCUCUGCCACUGGCAAUGUCCUGUCCUGAACAUUUCCAGUGUGGCCUCUCUCCUGAAAGGCCUGUGUGCGACUUCUUUGUGAAGCCGGAAGAAAGUUCUGGGACUUCCCCUUCUCCUUUGGUGCAAAGUUACACUAACUGUCAUGAUGUUGUUGAUUUCCUUUUUUUUUUUUUUUUUUUUGAGAGUCUCACUCUGUUGCCUAGACUGGAGUGCAAUGGCGUGAUCUCGGCUCACUACAGCCUCCGCCUCCUGGGUUCAAGUGAUUCUCCUGCCUCAGCCUCCCAAGUAGCUGGGAUUACAGGCGUGAGCCACCGUGCCCGGCCUUGAUUUCCUUCUUAAGCAGAGCUGAGUCUCUGUCUCUGUCCACACCAGUGCCUCCUGGGCCUUCCUGAGCACGUGUGGCUGGCAUCGCUUCCCAUCUCUGCUCCCUGUGGCAUCUUGCUGUGUCCCCGGCACCUCUGCAAAGCACAG
Molecule: long non-coding RNA, 1048 nt
Filed under: Homo sapiens (human)
Lineage: Eukaryota; Metazoa; Chordata; Mammalia; Primates; Hominidae
Description: non-protein coding lnc-MIB2-1:3
Source: RNAcentral